GUGAGCACAGUGGUGAACCAAACAAGUAAAUGCAGGUAGAGGGCAGCAGCAGCAGCAGCUGCUGCUGCUGAUGCUGAUGCUGCAGAGCCACCGCCACCAAGCAAAGCCAUUGGAGAGAUUAAAAAAACCCACAAACAAACAAGAUGAGGUUACCUCAGAAGAAGCACUUGACGAUGUGUUGCUAUAGUUGCUUGUACUGCUCCUUGGUGGAUUUGGAUGAUUUUGCUGAGGGCCUGUAGUAGUUUGUUUUUGACCCUCCU
Molecule: long non-coding RNA, 260 nt
Organism: Andrographis paniculata
Lineage: Eukaryota; Viridiplantae; Streptophyta; Magnoliopsida; Lamiales; Acanthaceae
Exons: 2
Source: RefSeq, a predicted model, not a curated record